AGUGAACGCUGGCGGUAGGCCUAACACAUGCAAGUCGAACGGCAGCACAGUAAGAGCUUGCUCUUACGGGUGGCGAGUGGCGGACGAGUGAGGAAUACAUCGGAAUCUACUUUUUCGUGGGGGAUAACGUAGGGAAACUUACGCUAAUACCGCAUACGACCUACGGGUGAAAGCAGGGGAUCUUCGGACCUUGCGCGAUUGAAUGAGCCGAUGUCGGAUUAGCUAGUUGGCGGGGUAAAGGCCCACCAAGGCGACGAUCCGUAGCUGGUCUGAGAGGAUGGUCAGCCACACUGGAACUGAGACACGGUCCAGACUCCUACGGGAGGCAGCAGUGGGGAAUAUUGGACAAUGGGCGCAAGCCUGAUCCAGCCAUACCGCGUGGGUGAAGAAGGCCUUCGGGUUGUAAAGCCCUUUUGUUGGGAAAGAAAAGCAGCAGGUUAAUACCCCGCUGUUCUGACGGUACCCAAAGAAUAAGCACCGGCUAACUUCGUG
Molecule: ribosomal RNA, 492 nt
Filed under: uncultured bacterium
Lineage: Bacteria
Description: partial 16S ribosomal RNA
Rfam family: Bacterial small subunit ribosomal RNA
Source: RNAcentral